AAGUUUCAACAACGGAUCUCUUGGCUCUCGCAUCGAUGAAGAACGCAGCGAAAUGCGAUAAGUAAUGUGAAUUGCAGAAUUCAGUGAAUCAUCGAAUCUUUGAACGCACCUUGCGCUCUCUGGUAUUCCGGAGAGCAUGCCUGUUUGAGUGUCA
Molecule: ribosomal RNA, 154 nt
Filed under: uncultured fungus
Lineage: Eukaryota; Fungi
Description: partial 5.8S ribosomal RNA
Rfam family: 5.8S ribosomal RNA
About the family: 5.8S ribosomal RNA (5.8S rRNA) is a component of the large subunit of the eukaryotic ribosome. It is transcribed by RNA polymerase I as part of the 45S precursor that also contains 18S and 28S rRNA.
Source: RNAcentral